AACGAACGCUGGCGGCAUGCCUAACACAUGCAAGUCGAACGAGACCUUCGGGUCUAGUGGCGCACGGGUGCGUAACGCGUGGGAACCUGCCCUUAGGUUCGGAAUAACUCCCCGAAAGGGGUGCUAAUACCGGAUAAUGUCUUCGGACCAAAGAUUUAUCGCCUUUGGAUGGGCCCGCGUUGGAUUAGCUAGUUGGUAGGGUAAAAGCCUACCAAGGCGACGAUCCAUAGCUGGUCUGAGAGGAUGAUCAGCCACACUGGGACUGAGACACGGCCCAGACUUCUACGGGAGGCAGCAGUGGGGAAUAUUGGACAAUGGGCGAAAGCCUGAUCCAGCAAUGCCGCGUGAGUGAUGAAGGCCUUAGGGUUGUAAAGCUCUUUUACCCGGGAUGAUAAUGACAGUACCGGGAGAAUAAGCUCCGGCUAACUCCGUGC
This 434-nucleotide ribosomal RNA is filed under the name uncultured bacterium. RNAcentral's name for it is "partial 16S ribosomal RNA". It matches the Rfam family "Bacterial small subunit ribosomal RNA", at positions 29 to 508 of the family's 1533-position model. The record is from RNAcentral.